This 860-nucleotide ribosomal RNA is filed under the name uncultured Chloroflexota bacterium. Its description in RNAcentral is "bacterial SSU rRNA". It matches the Rfam family "Bacterial small subunit ribosomal RNA", at positions 31 to 901 of the family's 1533-position model. Lineage: Bacteria; Bacillati; Chloroflexota. The record is from RNAcentral.
GAACGCNGGCGGCGUGCUUAAUACAUGCAAGUCGAACGAAGCCCCUUUUCUUCGGACGAGGGUGUCUUAGUGGCGAACGGGUGAGUAACGCGUUGGUAACCUGCCCCAAAGUGGGGGAUAACAGUUCGAAAGGACUGCUAAUACCCCAUGUGAUCAUCAGGAUUAGAUGCUUGAUGAUGAAAGGAGUAAUCCGCUUUGGGAGGGGCCUGCGUCCCAUCAGCUAGUUGGUAGGGUAAUGGCCUACCAAGGCUUUGACGGGUAGGGGACCUGAGAGGGUGGCCCCCCACACUGGCACUGAAACACGGGCCAGACACCUACGGGUGGCAGCAGUAGGGAAUAUUGGACAAUGGGCGAAAGCCUGAUCCAGCAACGCCGCGUGCGCGAUGACGGCCUUCGGGUUGUAAAGCGCUUUUAGGGGAGAUGAGAAAGGACAGUAUCCCCUGAAUAAGCCUCGGCGAACUACGUGCCAGCAGCCGCGGUAAAACGUAGGAGGCAAGCGUUAUCCGGAUUUAUUGGGCGUAAAGCGCGUGCAGGCGGCUUGGUAAGUUGGAUGUGAAAGCUCCUGGCUUAACUAGGAGAGGUCGUUCAAUACUAUCAAGCUAGAGAAUGGGAGAGGGAAGUGGAAUUCCGGGUGUAGUGGUGAAAUGCGUAGAUAUCCGGAGGAACACCAGUGGCGAAAGCGGCUUCCUGGACCAUUUCUGACGCUAAGACGCGAAAGCUAGGGGAGCAAACGGGAUUAGAGACCCCGGUAGUCCUAGCUGUAAACGAUGUAGACUUGGCGUUGGCGGAGUUAAAUCUGCCAGUGCCGGAGCUAACGCGUUAAGUCUACCGCCUGGGGACUACNACCGCAAGGUUAAACU